Molecule: long non-coding RNA, 363 nt
Filed under: Chinchilla lanigera (long-tailed chinchilla)
Lineage: Eukaryota; Metazoa; Chordata; Mammalia; Rodentia; Chinchillidae
Description: lncRNA (ENSCLAG00000023268.1)
Source: RNAcentral
UGUAGAUUGGCUUUUCUUGCUUGUAGAGUCAAAAAUAAUGAUAAGCGAAGUCAUUAUAAGUUGGAGACCGUCUGGAUUCCCAUUACUCUGCUCCAGCAUCAGGACGAUUUGGGCCUCCAUGUGUCUGAUGCUUGGUGAACCCAUCCACUUGGGCAUCUUUGUUUCUUGUUUUUUUUUUUUUUUUUUUUGGUUUUUCUCCGGUACCGGGAACCGAACUCACGACCUUGCAUUUGCCGCUGAGCUAAAUCCCCAGCCCACUUGGGCAUCUUUGGACUAAGGCAUCAGAGAGAUUUGCUCUGGUUCAGCAGAAUUGCUUGGCCCACCCAUAAGAUUCAUUUCAGGACCAGGCGAGGCCCCCACCGC